CCCAAACCGACACAGGUGAUCAGGUAGAGAAUACCAAGGCGCUUGAGAGAACUCGGGUAAAGGAACUAGGCAAAAUGGUGCCGUAACUUCGGGAGAAGGCACGCUGGUGGUAGGUGAGACCCCUUGCGGGUGGAGCUGACGCCAGUCGAAGAUACCAGGCCCCUGCGACUGUUUAUUAAAAACACAGCACUGUGCAAACACGAAAGUGGACGUAUACGGUGUGACGCCUGCCCGGUGCCGGAAGGUUAAUUGAUGGGGUUAGCGCUUGCGCGAAGCUCUUGAUCGAAGCCCCGGUAAACGGCGGCCGUAACAAUAACGGUCCUAAGGUAGCGAAAUUCCUUGUCGGGUAAGUUCCGACCUGCACGAAUGGCGUAACGAUGGGGGCGCUGUCUCUACCCGAGACUCAGUGAAAUUGAAAUCGCCGUGAAGAUGCGGUGUAUCCGCGGCUAGACGGAAAGACCCCGUGAACCUUUACUAUAGCUUCACAGUGAACUUUGAGCAUGUUUGUGUAGGAUAGCUGGGAGGCUUUGAAGUGGGAACGCCAGUUCUCAUGGAGCCAACCUUGAAAUACCAGCCUGACAUGUUUGAGGUUCUAACUUGGUCCCCUUAUCGGGGAUGAGGACACUGUGUGGUGGGUAGUUUGACUGGGGCGGUCUCCUCCCAAAGCGUAACGGAGGAGCACAAAGGUGGGCUAAGCAUGGUCGGACAUCAUGCGGUUAGUGUAAUGGCACAAGCCCGCUUAACUGCGAGACAGACACGUCGAGCAGGUACGAAAGUAGGUCAUAGUGAUCCGGUGGUUCUGUAUGGAAGGGCCAUCGCUCAACGGAUAAAAGGUACGCCGGGGAUAACAGGCUGAUACUGCCCAAGAGUCCAUAUCGACGGCAGUGUUUGGCACCUCGAUGUCGGCUCAUCUCAUCCUGGGGCUGGAGCAGGUCCCAAGGGUAUGGCUGUUCGCCAUUUAAAGUGGUACGCGAGCUGGGUUUAGAACGUCGUGAGACAGUUCGGUCCCUAUCUGCCGUGGACGUUGGAGAUUUGAGGAAAGCUGCUCCUAGUACGAGAGGACCGGAGUGGACGAACCUCUGGUGUUCCGGUUGUCACGCCAGUGGCAUCGCCGGGUAGCUAAAUACGGACGG
RNAcentral lists this ribosomal RNA (1133 nucleotides) under uncultured Micromonas. Its description in RNAcentral is "partial Bacterial large subunit ribosomal RNA". It matches the Rfam family "Bacterial large subunit ribosomal RNA", at positions 1648 to 2762 of the family's 2925-position model. The record is from RNAcentral. Lineage: Eukaryota; Viridiplantae; Chlorophyta; Mamiellophyceae; Mamiellales.